GCGGGUGUAGCGCAGUGGUAGCGCAGGGGCUUCCCAAGCCUCGUGUCGCGGGUUCGAAUCCCGUCACCCGCU
This 72-nucleotide transfer RNA is filed under the name Chloroflexota bacterium. RNAcentral's name for it is "Chloroflexi bacterium (hydrothermal vent metagenome) tRNA-Gly". It matches the Rfam family "tRNA". From Rfam's summary of the family: Transfer RNA (tRNA) molecules are approximately 80 nucleotides in length. Lineage: Bacteria; Bacillati; Chloroflexota. The record is from RNAcentral.